RNAcentral lists this ribosomal RNA (253 nucleotides) under uncultured bacterium. RNAcentral describes it as "partial 16S ribosomal RNA". It matches the Rfam family "Bacterial small subunit ribosomal RNA", at positions 524 to 776 of the family's 1533-position model. The record is from RNAcentral.
UACGUAGGGUGCGAGCGUUGUCCGGAAUUAUUGGGCGUAAAGAGCUCGUAGGCGGCUUGUCGCGUCGGAUGUGAAAGCCCGGGGCUUAACUCCGGGUCUGCAUUCGAUACGGGCAGGCUAGAGUUCGGUAGGGGAGAUCGGAAUUCCUGGUGUAGCGGUGAAAUGCGCAGAUAUCAGGAGGAACACCGGUGGCGAAGGCGGCUCUCUGGACCGAGACUGACGCUGAGGCGCGAAAGCUAGGGGAGCAAACGGG